CUGAUUUAUCCCAUAGAAUCUAUGAAUCCACAUCAAAUUGAUCUUCCUCAGCACCUGGUCCUGGCUAUGCUUCUGAUUCUUCUUUUCUUCAGUGAUCAGGUUUUUCAUCUUGCCCAUCAUCUUCUGGACCUCAAAUACCUGCUGAAGACCAGAUUUUGCCUUAAUUUAGCGGGCUUGAACUCUACUGAUGAUAUGAAGCAACCCUGCCCUACCUGGUCGAGAAGGAAAAUGAUGUUGCAGCAAAGAAUGAAGAGGAUGCCUUGUUGAAAGCUAAGCCUGUUGCUGCAGCAAGCAGAUCUUUCACCAGAGCAAUGACUCAACACACCACAAGGCAACUGAGUCUUGCUGCACUCCAGAGACUGUGGUUAGAAAUAUGUCACCAGCGGGAGCAUCAUUAAUCACAAUUUUAGGAGUGACAGUCAGUUUCUUGACCUCGUUGAGACAGGCAGGGAGGUCAGAGCUUCAAGCAGUUCAUCCUCCAGGCAAGGAAAACUAUUGGGAAGAUUUCCUUUUUGUUAUCGCUGGCAUUUUUAUUUAAUCCCAUCAUUUUCCCCACAGUCUGGGCAGAAGUACAAAAGCUUCAGACAGGCACAUUCUGCCCUUUUCUCUUUUUCUCUCUGCCAAAAGUAACCUUGGCAAUUGAUGGUUUAGGGAAAAGCUACCAUUCCCCUUUUCCUCAAUCUUAUUUUCUCUCAUCCAUCUUCUCUUAUUCUCUUUCUUUGGUCACACUUCUCUUGGGGUCUAAAGAUCAGGAGGGUAGAAAGAGUCAUCUUAAUGGAGCCUGAUGUUAGCAGCCCUGCCUAUUUCUCUGUAUUGAUUGUAGGGGAAGGUUAGGAAGAAAUCUUCCCUGCAUGAGGGCACAUAUGUUCCUCCCACAGUGGUCAGCCUGGUUGCUGCUGUUGGAAGAGGGCUGGUGUUGUUAUUAGAGCCUGUCACAGCCGAUGAAUUUCAUUCCAGGCCCUACAUAGGAAGUUUCAAAAAGGAAAAACACCAAGAAUGAAAAGAAUUCAAGAACGUUGGUUUGUAUAUCUGAGUGCACAUUAGGACAUUAAAAGCAUAUUUAAUUUCAUACAGAAAAUCAUCGUGAUAUCAUAACAAAAGACAGGUUUGAAAUCAGAAAGUGAAUAGGGUAAAAGGAGAUUUAAAUCAUUCACUGCAUUACUACUGUGCCAUGUGCAUAAUAGGCCCCUGGGGAUACAGAAUUUAAGAUACUGGAUGUAGUCCUACAUUUGUAGUCUGUACAUUCUUGGGGGAGGGAGAUGGAUAAAUAAACAGGUUUUUAAAAAAGAAGAAAAUUUAAAA
This 1302-nucleotide long non-coding RNA is filed under the name Piliocolobus tephrosceles (Ugandan red Colobus). RNAcentral's name for it is "lncRNA (ENSPTEG00000029246.1)". Lineage: Eukaryota; Metazoa; Chordata; Mammalia; Primates; Cercopithecidae. The record is from RNAcentral.